This is a long non-coding RNA of Arachis stenosperma, 937 nucleotides long. RefSeq lists it as uncharacterized. The record is from RefSeq and is a predicted model, not a curated record. The transcript has 4 exons. Lineage: Eukaryota; Viridiplantae; Streptophyta; Magnoliopsida; Fabales; Fabaceae.
UAGUUCUGAUAUCACUGUCCUAAGUGAAAUUUCAAGUUUCUGGUCCUACAACAUGGUUUGAAAUAUCUGGUUAAUAAGGAUGAACUCAAGCUUCAUAUAAAAUAUCUGGUCCUACAUGUAUCAAGCUCUAUUUCUGGAAAAGAGCAUAUAAAAGCAGCCUGUUCUGACCUAGAAAAAAUACAAAAACUUAGGAAAGAAGCUGAAUUCCUGGAAGCAUCUUUCAGGGCGAAGGCUGAUUCUUUACAGCAGGGAGUUGGUGGUGGUCAGUCUCAAACACAAGUUGGUGAUGAUCAAGAAUUUACGAAAGGAAAAAGCAGAAAGAAUGCAAAUGCAAGGGUGGAUAGGAGCAAAAGAAAUGUUGGAAAAUCUCGUGGAUUCUUGGACAUCAUUAUACCUCGUGGUAGCAAAAAGUCUGACCUGGAGGCUGAUGAUAAUCAUGAUGAGCAGUCUCCACCAAAUGUAGGGAUCAUGGACCAAGAAUCCAGUGAAUUUCACCGGUUUGAGACUCUGAGAAAGGAGUUAAUGGAACUUGAGAAACGCGUUGAAAAUAGUACAUAUCAAUCAGAAAAUAACGAAAUAUUUUGUUCCUUUUCAUGUUGCUUCUGAGAAACUAUGAAGGAGUAACUAUAUUCUUUAACUUUCUGUUGGUUUUGGCUUAGUGUACACUUUUAGAUUUAACAUUUUAUAUUUGCUUUUGUAGGAUUUAGUAGUCAUUGAUGAUGGUGCUCGUUAUAGUGAUGCUGCUGGAUCUUUUCAGUUGUCCAGGAUUCAGAAGAAGGAAAAUAUCAUAGAGAAAUCUUUAGGCAAAUUAAAAAAAACAGGAAUGGUAUGUUUUAUUCUAGAGGUGGUUCUUUAAUGUGAACAUUAUCCUUAUUUAUUUGGUUUGAGUUCAUCUGUCACAUUAAUCAAUGAAGCUUGAGUAAUUAUUUUUUGUUAA